GCAGGAAAAGAAAUCAACCGAGAUUCCCAAAGUAGUGGCGAGCGAAAUGGGAUGAGCCUUGUACUCUUUAUUUGUAUUGUUAGCCGAACGCUCUGGAAAGUGCGGCCAUAGCAGGUGAUAGCCCUGUAGGCGAAAACAGUAUGAAAGAACUAGGUGUACGACAAGUAGGGCGGGACACGUGAAAUCCUGUCUGAAGAUGGGGGGACCAUCCUCCAAGGCUAAAUACUCGUGAUCGACCGAUAGUGAACCAGUACCGUGAGGGAAAGGCGAAAAGAACCCCGGGAGGGGAGUGAAAUAGAUCCUGAAACCGCAUGCAUACAAACAGUCGGAGCCUCGUAAGGGGUGACGGCGUACCUUUUGUAUAAUGGGUCAGCGACUUACGUUCAGUAGCAAGCUUAACCGUAUAGGGCAGGCGUAGCGAAAGCGAGUCCGAAUAGGGCGUUCAGUUGCUGGGCGUAGACCCGAAACCAGGUGAUCUAUCCAUGGCCAGGAUGAAGGUGCGGUAACACGUACUGGAGGUCCGAACCCACUAACGUUGAAAAGUUAGGGGAUGAGCUGUGGAUAGGGGUGAAAGGCUAAACAAACCUGGAAAUAGCUGGUUCUCUCCGAAAACUAUUUAGGUAGUGCCUCGUGUCUCACCUUCGGGGGUAGAGCACUGUCAUGGUUGGGGGGUCUAUUGCAGAUUACCCCGCCAUAGCAAACUCCGAAUACCGAAGAGUGCAAUCACGGGAGACAGACAUCGGGUGCUAACGUCCGGUGUCAAGAGGGAAACAACCCAGACCGCCAGCUAAGGUCCCCAAAUAUGGCUAAGUGGGAAACGAAGUGGGAAGGCUAAAACAGUCAGGAGGUUGGCUUAGAAGCAGCCACCCUUUAAAGAAAGCGUAAUAGCUCACUGAUCGAGUCGUCCUGCGCGGAAGAUGUAACGGGGCUAAGCCAUAUACCGAAGCUGCGGAUGCGUGCUUGCACGCAUGGUAGGAGAGCGUUCCGUAAGCCUGCGAAGGUGCCUUGUAAAGGGUGCUGGAGGUAUCGGAAGUGCGAAUGCUGACAUGAGUAGCGAUAAAGGGGGUGAAAGGCCCCCUCGCCGUAAGCCCAAGGUUUCCUACGCAACGUUCAUCGGCGUAGGGUGAGUCGGCCCCUAAGGCGAGGCAGAAAUGCGUAGCUGAUGGGAAGCAGGUCAAUAUUCCUGCACC
This 1190-nucleotide ribosomal RNA is filed under the name Burkholderia multivorans. Its description in RNAcentral is "partial 23S ribosomal RNA". It matches the Rfam family "Bacterial large subunit ribosomal RNA", at positions 212 to 1445 of the family's 2925-position model. The record is from RNAcentral. Lineage: Bacteria; Pseudomonadati; Pseudomonadota; Betaproteobacteria; Burkholderiales; Burkholderiaceae.